AUGUGACAAUAAGGCACCACCUUGGAAGCAGAGAGCAGCCCUCAUCAAGGCCAGUGCCUUUGUCUUAGACUUCCUUGCCUUUAGCACUGUGAGAAACAAAAUCCUGUUAUAUAUAAAUGACCCAGCCUGUGGUCCUUUACUAGAGUAGCAUAAAUGGAUCAAGACGGUCUCCAAUCUUAAUUAUGCCCUCAACAUGGGCAGUUCUCCCAUUGUCCACUGCACACUCGUUGCAAACUCUCACCAAUCUCUUGAAGCCUUUCAUCUGUGUCCCUCUCAUUCUUAGCAGUGAGCCUCAUCUCUGCAAAAAUCUCAGAAGCCACUAACUAUUCCCUUUUUCAAUUCCAGCCCUACCCUACUUUAAAUACAUCCACAUCUGUACCCACUCUUAACACCUUCCUGCAGCUCAGUGGAAAGGCAUUCUCUUUCAGACCAAGGCUAAUAUCUCUCUACGUGCCCUGAUGCCCAUUUAAUACUGCUACUUUUGAGUAGUAUUCUUUUAAACUAAUUAUCCUUUUAAACUAAUUUCUACCACAGUUUCUCUGUCUCUGUCUGUCUCUCUCGCUCUCUUUUCUGGCUCUCUCUUCUCAGCAUAAAAACAUUCUCGAGUCUUUUCUAUUUAUAAAAAUACAAAACCUCCCUGAACCCCAAACCCCUCUCCCCAACACAGCUGCUUGAAGUUCUCUCUUCUAUUCCAAGCUUAGCUAAUGGAAAAAAUAAUAACAAUCUGCUACAUUUCCUUUCAAGCCACAAAGCCAGUGUCCAAAACAAGACAAGGAGGAGACAAAAGGACACAGGCUUGUUUAUCAUUUUAUACUUAAUCAGGUCCCUUCAUGGCAUCACUACCCAAAACUCUCCCAGGACUUCUGCUAGCUACAGCUAGAAGACAGACUGCCAUGUCCUUGCCUCAAAGACUGUUUGCAGCAUUUUAAUGUAACCUUUCUUAUUAUAAUGCUGUUACUAGGGUCUGAGACUGGAGUAUAUGUAGUCAGACAGACUCGGGGUUCCCUCCAAUUACCUUCCAGCUGUGUUUCUGGCUCACCUCCGUGUUGGAAUCACAGGAAAGUAAGCAUGUGGAAGUGUCCUCUCCUCACGAGAUCUUGGUGUCAUCUGCACGUUCCAUUGAAAUCACUGGCUUCUUAUUUUUACUUAGCCACCUUUGAUCACCUUCCCUUUCAUUUUCAGAUGGAUUAUCCUCUGAAUUCCUCCUGUGCUUAAUAUUCUGAUAGCAUUCAGAAACCUAAAGAACUCUACCUUGAUGUUUUCUCUGAGCAGUUUAGGGAUAGAAAGGGACACAGUAGUACCUGCUGGAAGAACCACCCCACGGAGCGGGGAGACAAAAGUCACACACAACUCAACUGUCAAUCAAGUGUGAAAACAGCAUUGUUAAGACUAGUAUUUUUGCAAUUACAGCCUGAAUUCCAAUCCUUGCCCAAUUUUUUCAUCUAUAAAGAGGAAAGAGUGAUACCUUCUUAGGAAGAGUGCUGCAA
Long non-coding RNA from Sapajus apella (tufted capuchin), 1487 nucleotides. RefSeq lists it as uncharacterized. The record is from RefSeq and is a predicted model, not a curated record. NCBI's taxonomy places the organism in Eukaryota, Metazoa, Chordata, Mammalia, Primates, Cebidae. The transcript has 2 exons.